Meleagris gallopavo (turkey) is the source of this 1003-nucleotide non-coding RNA. The record is from RefSeq and is a predicted model, not a curated record. NCBI's taxonomy places the organism in Eukaryota, Metazoa, Chordata, Aves, Galliformes, Phasianidae.
CCUGUGUUUCCUAGGUGACUGAACUCAGGGUCCACUCCACCCUGGGCUUAUUUAAGGGCUAGCCUCUGAAAGUAGAACGUUUUGUAGGUUAAGGUUACUUCUUUAUAAGAAGUUUUAUAGCACAGUUGGGAUGUGAAAAACAAACCUGAACCUUAGGACAGAGAUGCCUGAGAAAGCACGCUUGCAACUGAGCUGCGAAAUUUCCAUAUAUUGCAAGUGCUUCUUGCUAUGGACUGAAUUGGGAUCCCAGUGUCUGGCAGCACUGAGCAGACUGGCCGAACAGUUUUCUGCAUCAACACUGUUCAAAGACCACUAAGUACAUCCUGCUUUUCAGAAGCUAGUGGAAGCCAGGGCAACAGUAUAAAUGUAAAUACCAUGCUUUGCAUUUUAAUUAAUAACAUUGUGUUCUUAUGAUCAAGUGUGUCUUAGAUGAUUUCUUAAGACUGAUUAUUUUCUUUGUGUAAGGAAGGAGAGACAUGAUACACUCAUGCUGCUGUAAACUAGAUACAAAUUACUUUGUAGAAAAGCAGUGUUGUGAAGAAAAGGGCCUUCUGAAUCCCAUUGAGACUAAGGGAGAAAAUAGAGUUUAAAAGGCUUUCUUAGCAUGUCGUGAUUGAUACCAAGUAUUGCGGUGAGAUAAAAGGUAUGCUCUUUAACUGCCUUUCAUAGGCAAUGUGGCAAAUGUUAAUAAUGGUAUCCCCUAACUGGACAACUGCAGAAGAUCAGGCACAUGGAACUCAUCUGUGUUCCUGUUGAGGCACAUACAUCAUGCGGAAUCCCCUGUUGCAUUCUUGGGGAAUAAGAGCUCUUGAUGACAGUGAGAGUGACCCAACUCAGUACAAGUGUUUAGGGUAUCUGACGUAAUGAAAUAGGCUGCACUGGAAAUGUGUUAUCUCAAAGUUUAUUGAAUAUGUGUCUGACCUUUCUGCCUGCUGAAACACUGGUGUUCUGCUGCUGUCUGUAAGAACAAUUCAUAUGGAAAUUGCCUAUCAAGAAAUAAUCA